UGCAUUCUUCCAAAUUGUGGUGGUUCCACAGGACUUUCACCAUCGGGAUUUCCUUGUUUCUUAGCUUUCUGAUCUGGGUGUCUAUGAUCCGUACUGGCUGUUCAACAUAGGUGAGAUCCUCUUGGACCUCCACAUCAGGCUCACUAAGAACCUUGCUCGGAUCCGACACAAACUUCCUCAACAUUGAAACAUGGAAAACCGGAUGGAUUCUUUCCAUUGAAGCAGGUAAAUCCAGCUUGUACGA
RNAcentral lists this long non-coding RNA (244 nucleotides) under Manihot esculenta (cassava). Its description in RNAcentral is "long non-coding RNA (MESC_LNC000186)". Lineage: Eukaryota; Viridiplantae; Streptophyta; Magnoliopsida; Malpighiales; Euphorbiaceae. The record is from RNAcentral.